AUGACGGUGCUUGCAUGGAAUUGUCGAGGUCUCGGGCAGCCUCGCACAGUUCAAGAACUAGUGCGCCUCAUGCACACAUACAAGCCCAAGCUCGUCUUCCUCACUGAAACGCGGCAAAAUAAUAAGUAUGUUAGGAACCUCAAGUGGAGGCUCGGACUCCGUCAUUGUAUCACGCAACCCGUCAUUGGAAAAGGUGCCGACAUUGCCCUCUUUUAUGAUGAGAGUGUUGAAAUAAAAAAGAUUGCCGCAGGGGCGAGAUAUAUCAAUGUGUUAAUCCGUUUAAACCCCAAUGGUCUUCAGUGGAGGGGCACUUUUGUGUAUGGCGAACCAAAAGCACAUGAGUGGCACCAUAUGUGGACCAUGCUAAGAAUAAUAAAGGAUACAAGUAACCUCCUAUGGAUGAUGGUGGGGGACUUUAACGAAACUAUGUGGCAGGAAGAGCACUACUCUAUUUCCAAAAGAUCCUAG
Molecule: ribosomal RNA, 468 nt
Filed under: Triticum aestivum (bread wheat)
Lineage: Eukaryota; Viridiplantae; Streptophyta; Magnoliopsida; Poales; Poaceae
Description: partial small subunit ribosomal RNA
Source: RNAcentral